RNAcentral lists this long non-coding RNA (5693 nucleotides) under Cucumis sativus (cucumber). RNAcentral's name for it is "long non-coding RNA (CSAT_LNC000605)". Lineage: Eukaryota; Viridiplantae; Streptophyta; Magnoliopsida; Cucurbitales; Cucurbitaceae. The record is from RNAcentral.
UUGUCAAGUAAAACUCAGAAUGGUACCACCCAGUAGUUAGAUGUGAACUUUCGAGACCUUUGACAUUGUUCUAAGUUAGGUAGUUUCAAACCAAAAUUUAUCUAAUAAAUAUGAACCCACCACAUGCAAUUGGGUAAAAUUGAAGCAUGCUCUGGUACCACAUGAUAAAACUAAGACAUGCACAGUGGAAAAAGAAUCGAAUUUCUACCCUAAUUGCCAUAAUUAACAUGUAACCCUAAAACAAUCAAAUUAGGGUUUUAGGAAAUAUUACCUUUGAAGCUUUCAAAAAACUUCGAUACCUCCUUACCAAUUCAAAUCGAGACCACCACUAGCACUCAACUACUAUCAUCUAGACAAAGAAUCGGAUUGUGGGACCCAAUUUGGUGUAGAAAGUAAUGGAGAUAAAAGGGGAUUGGAAGGUAGAAGUUUUUUUCCUUGGUUGAGAUAUUGGAGAAUGAUAAAAAAAAAGAGGCAAAAGUUUUCAACUAUUUGAAACACCCCUAUUUAUAACAAUGCAUGUAAUUAAUUUGUCAAAUCUCAACACCUAAUGUUCCACUAACAAUUAGUGGAACUUAGUGGGCUAGGUGUCUACAUCUCAUAUAGUCACAUAUCCCACUAAGAGUUAGUGGGAUUAUCCAACAAAAUGUUGGAUUUUCUCACUAACUUAGUCCAAGGGUAAAAUGGUCAUUAGAUAUUUCAAGUCAAAAGUCGAACUUUGACUUUUCUAAGUCAAAAGUCAAUAUUUUGACUUUUUACCAUUUUGUCCGUCUUGACUAAUUCCAACCUCCCGAGCAUGAAUCCGCAUUCAUUUUUUCAAAAUUCAAAUCACAUUUGAAUAUAAGGCCGGUCAAAGUUUGACUUUUCAAAGUCAAAAGUCAACAUUUUGGUUUUUUACCAUUUUUGACCAAUUCCAUCAAUUCUGAGCUUCUUAGUAUGAAUCUGCAUUCAUACUUAUAAUAUGUAAAACAUAAAGCUCUAUUUCUAAUUAGAAGAUCAACGACUAUAUCACUAUAUUUGUCGGUUUCUCUUUCUUCUCCCAAUUUGAACAAUUUGACUUAUUUCAUCACAUUGUUCUAAGUUUAAUCCAUAUGAGCUAGCAGAGGAACCUAAUGGACCUAUAGAUCAUGGGCUCCAACGAUUCAAGAUUAACUAGCUAAACUCUUUUAAACCGAGUUAAUCAACAUUCGUUAACUAACGAGUCAUUUCACUAAAGUCCCGUAGUUGCACUCCCCUCACUAUAGAUAUAUUUGUGUCCAUUUGAUAAAACCAUAAUCAGUAAGUUAAUCCUUCACAGGUUGCUCGUAACCUUGGCUGGGUCAAAAUACCGUUUUACCCCCAAGAUUACAUCUUGCUCCUUAAGUCCCACUAAUCCACUAUUGAACAAUUGGUUUAAGGUUCAACCUAUAAACUUAAUCCCUCUCGGGCCAAUGAGAGGGUGGGGCCCCUUGUUCAAGACUUGGAUUCAGUGCUUAAGAGAAGCAACCUAUCUACUAACCCUAAAGCGGGUAGGAGUGAAUUCCAUCUUGUACCCUAUGUUCCCAGCUAUCCACCCGAUCUUACCCCUGAAAUGGGAGGCUUAUUGGGCCAACGCUGAUGAGCUGCCCUCACCUAUGCAGAUCUAAGGAUAAUCUCGUGUGAACAGGAGUUCAUAGUUAACUCAGGAUUAAGAUUAAGUUACCUAGGUCAUCAAUAAUCGAGAUAGUCAAUUUUAAACAGUAAACGAUGUUAUAACGUAAAAAAGACUAAUUCAUGGUUCAGUCUUAUGUAUACACUUUACAUAGGAUGCCCCCACUUUCAUGUCUCUACAUGAACGAUUCAGGAUCACCUCGUUUGUACUACAAAGUGGGCCGCAUCCAUAGUCUCUCUAAAUAAGGCGUCCAACCUUUAUUCAUAUAUUAUAGACUAUUUAGGUUAUAUACUCGAACUUGAUCCACGUUUAUGUUUACACAUAAAGUUCAAGUUUAUUCAAAAAUAGCCUUGGAACUUGAUUUAUUGGAUUUAAGAUUAUAAUAUUUAAUUUUCCAAUAACAACUUUAUUGAACAUAAUAUAAUUACAAACUACGAGUUUUAGGACAAAAAAUUCCAACACUUUGACCCUCUUUUCAAUGUUUUGGAACUGAACUAAAAAACUAAGUCUAGUGCAUCACCGUUCGACUUUUGUGGGUAAGAAAAUUCAAUAUUACUCAGAGUGAGACCACCAAGUAGUUAGAUGCAAACUUUUGAAACCUUCAACAUUGUUCUAAGUUGGGUAGUUUCUUUCUAGGCCAUAUCAUUGACCCUAUUUUCAACGUUUUUGGAUAGAACUAAAAAACUGAGUCUAGCGCAUCACAAUUUGGCUUUUAUGAGCAAGAAACUUUAAUAUUACUCAAAAUGAGACCACCCAAUAGUUAGAUGUGAACUUUCGAGACCUUUGACAUUGUUCUAAGUUUGGUAGUUUCUUUCUAGAUCGUAGCAUUGAUCCUUUUUUUUAACGUUUUGGUACGAAACUAAAAAUCUAAGUAUGGGGCAUCACUAUUCGGCUUUUGUGGGAAAAAAACUUUAAUAUCACUCAAAUUGAGACCACCCAGUAGUUAUAUUGGAACUUUUGAGACCUUUGGCAUUGUUCUAAGUUGGAUAGUUUCUUUCUAAGCCACAUGAUUGGCCUAUUUUUCAACUUUUUGGGACGGAACUAAAAAACUAAGUCUGGGGCAUCACUGUUUGACUUUUGUGGGGAAGAAACUUUAAUAUUACUCAAAAUGAGACCAUCCAGUAGUUAGAUAUGAACUUUUGAGACCUUUGACAUUGUUAUAAGUUGGAUAGUUUUUUUCUAAGCCAUAGUUGUCCCUUUUUUCAAUGUUUUGGGACGAAAAUAAAAAACUGAGUCUCAUCACCAUUCGACUUUUGUGGGCAAGAAACUUUAAUAUUACUCAAAAUGAGACCACCUAGUAGUUAGAUGUGAACUUUCAAGACCUUUGACAUUAUUCUAAGUUGGGUAGUUUAUUUCAAGGCCAUAGCGUUGAUCCUUUUUUCAACGUUUUGAGACGGAUUUAAAAACUGAGCUUGGAGCAUCGUUCGACUUUUAUGGGAAAAAAACUUUAAUAUUACUCAGAAUGAGACCACCCAGUAGUUAGAUGUGAACUUUUGAGACCUUUGACAUUAUUCUAAGUUGGGUAGUUUCUUUCUAGAACAUAGCAUUGGCCUUUUAUUCAACAUUUUGGGAUUGAACUAAAAAACUGAGUCUAGGGUAUCACUCGACUUUUAUGGACAAGAAACUUUAAUAUUACUUAGAAUGAGACCAUCCAGUAGUUAGAUGUGAACUUUCGAGUUCUUUGACAUUGUUUUAUGUUGGGUAGUUUCUUUCUAGGCCAUAGCAUUGACCCCUUUUUUCAACGUUUUGGGACGGAACUAAAAAACUGAGUCUGAGGCAUCAUCGUUUUGCUUUUGUGGGCAAGAUUGAAUAAGCUGAAACAUAACAUUGGGCUCACAAGCAUGACCACCAUGGAGAAGAUGAUUACGCUCCUUCCAGAUAAAAUAAAUCGUAGCACACCAAAGAACACACCACAACUUUCUCCUCACACCCUUACCAAUACCCUGAUAACCAAUCCAAGACAACUCAACUCCCCAACAACCCAAACCCACCUAUCACCAAUGCUAGGACACAGACUUACAACAUGAACCAUAUCCCAUAAAUUAAUCAAAUCCAAAGACACCUUCGACCAUCUCCAUUUCCCUUCCAAAUCAAUAAACUCAGAGAGCCUAACCUCCUGCCUACUCGUUGCAUCGUAAAGCACUCUCUCACCAACCUACUGAAGGAUAGGACCACCCUGCAACCAAGGAUCCAGUCACACUCUGCAACACCUACCAUCCUCCACCUCCAUCGAAUUAAUAGGUUGCAUAUGUGAGGUGGAAUGUUAUAGGUUAGUCUAAUGCAUUAUAAGCGUUAUAAAAUCAAGUAGACUUUUAAAAUCUAUAACAAAGUCAACUUGCAUGCUUACUUAGGUUAAACAUAUCAACCAAAUCGUUCAUAGAAUUAGGUUGAUAUCUUGUAAAAAUGUUUAUAAGAGGUUCUCACCUAAUUCAAGCUUGUCAAUAAGUCAGAUAAGAUGACUAAGGUUGGAGGUUCUUAAGUUGACAGUUUACGGAACAUCUGCUACAUGAAGAUCAUAAUCAGUUAUUGAGCCUAGUUAACCUAGUUCUAUGAACAUGAGUGAGGGAUGUGAGGUAAUGAAAUUGACUUAUCACCUAGACUCGUAGGUUAAAAUCUAGUAUAAUGGUUAUGUUGGAUGUUUCACCUAAAUUUAGGAUAUGUUUAAGUUAGCAUAAAUAAGAUCCUAUUUUUCUCACCUUUUAAAAAACAUCAUAGGACAUUUUAGCUUGAGAAAAGUAACAUAUUUUUAGCUCUAAUGUCCCUAAGAUUCAUGUCGUGAAGUUCAUGCAUGGCUUUCAGUUGUGCAUAGGAGUGGACUCCCUUCGAAGAGUGUUUGCAUGGAUCAAUAUCAAGGUGAAUAGGAGAAGUAGUUCAUAGUAAGUGGGUUAGGGAUAUGUGACAACACAUCCCAUGGUCUCUUCCAUCAGGUUGCACCGUGAUAUUCCUAUAAUGCGCCUACUUGUCUGCCCUAGAGCAACGUUUCCUUUGGAGGGUUGUAUUAUAGGAUUCAAAACACCGCAAUAUCCAAAUUUGGAUAGGGUCUCUUAGAUCAGUUUUUAUAUUGUCUUUCCACUUUCAGGAGCAUAAUGUUUCUUAUCUCUAAGAUUUGAAAAUGGAGGGUUACAGUUACAAGAAUUACUAAGUUGUUAGUAUAUUCUUGACCGAAGAAGCGAUAAUUAAGUGCUAUAGGAAUAUGAGAUAUUCAGGACUUAGCAUUUGGUCAAGAUUGUCUUGGUUCAAAGAAGGAGUAAUCGACUACCCCUCGAUAGAGGUUAUUCUAAACAUUUGAAAUAUUGUUGCAAAACACAAUAAUGAUAGGUAUAUUAUUAAUAUUUGCUAAAUUAAUCGGUUCUUAUAGAAAUAUAAUUUUUCACUAAAUAGAGUAUUUUUUUUAGCAUGAAUAGCUCAAUAGUACACUCUUAGCUUAUGAGAAACUUAACGAUGAUAAUUGCGACAAGGAAAUCAAACUUAAAUACAAUACUGGUUGUAGAUGAUUUAAAGUUUGUCUUAACUGAGGAACGUCCUCUAGCCCCUGCCUCAAAUGCUAAUCAAAAUGUUUGGAAAGCAUAUGAUCGAUGGGUAAAGGCCAAUCAAAAGGCUCGUGUCUAUAUUCUUGCCAACAUGUCUGAUGUUUUGGAAAAGUAACAUGAAUCCUUAACCACAGAUAAAGAGAUUAUGGAUUCAUCGAAGGAGAUGUUUAGUUAGCCUUAAUGGUCCCUCAGACACGAAGCAGUUAAACAUAUUUACACCAAGUGAAUGAAGGAAGGGACAUCUUAAUAAGGCAAUCCUAAUCCUCAAUCCAAAUAUCCAAGCUAUUAACGUAGCAAGAACCUUUAAAAUAAGAAACUAACACCUCCUUAUACUAAUUUAGAUCAACCAAGAGAAAAUUAGGACUCGAUUACCUCUUAGAUCAAAGAUCUAGAAGCAAGAUUUGGAAAUCUUGUUCUAAAUUGAGUCACUCCACAAUCAAACUUGAUCAAGGUUAUAUUGAAAGGCUCGCAUGCAUUCUAUCACAAGAACUGCAAAUUAAGGGAAAAAAUCUCUACAUGAGAUUUCAAAAUAGCAU